Molecule: long non-coding RNA, 1572 nt
Organism: Aegilops tauschii subsp. strangulata
Lineage: Eukaryota; Viridiplantae; Streptophyta; Magnoliopsida; Poales; Poaceae
Source: RefSeq, a predicted model, not a curated record
AUUCGCGCGUUGUAUCGGGCCUUGGCCUGUUGUAAAAAAAGUUACGCUCGGGCGAUCCGGUCUCUUCCUCUUCUCGCGACCGACGACCCCUGUUCCUCCUCCUCCUCUCCUAUGCUCAAUCUCAAUCCCGCACAUCUUCUUUCGGCGUGGCCAACCUCCCCAGUCACCACACAUUCGCCCCCGCUCCAGCUGCAGGUCUUCCUCCAGACGACGACGCCGGUGCCAACGGGACCCACAUCCCAACUAGAAGGUAGAUGCCUAGACCCAGAUCCCCUCCCUUUGCAGUCCGGCGGCGGGGCUGGAUCCGGUCGAUGGGGCGACCCGCAGGCAAGUGACGGCGGCUUGGGACGGCGGCGAAGCUAUAACUUGGGCGGUGCCAUGGCUCCUUGUGUAGAGAAAACGAGAUGAGGGGGAGGUUAGGGAAGAGCAGCAGGAGGAGUGAAGGAAAAAAGGCGACAGAGAAGGGCCUGCACGCCGGAGAGCUCGACUGGCGACGACGCUCGCUGUAGCGGGAGUAUGCUCAGGCGUACCGGCAUGAGAGCCACAGUUGGCGGGAAUUGGCUGCGGGCAUAGGAACCGUGGAUUGAUCCCACGUACACACAGCCUUUUUAUUUCGAGAUCACACCUCACAGUCGUGGGCAUGAAGCAGAAGUUGCGUCACAUGCUCCACAUCCUAUCAGCGGACUUCCAAAUACUACAAGGAUGCGGAUUUGUUGAUGACGGCUACAGAUGUUUCCAAGUAAGGCGGUCGUGCCGUGAGGUGAUGCAUUGGCUCUGGUCCUUCUUUUUGGUAAGGGUGUGUUUGGUUGCUGGAAUGGCGUGGAACGUCACGGGUCCGACCCAUUGCCGAGCAUCGUUCUCGUGUUCAGUAGGGAGAUGGAACGGUCACCGCCUCGUUCCUAGGAACCGAAUAUUCGGCCCAGAUGCGGAACCAGGUGAUACCUCCAAAACGAGCGGACGACGCGGAACCGGCUCUCUUCUCGCACGCCCAGCCCUAUCGCCUCUCCUCGCUGCGCCGCCUCCCCCUCGUCUCUCUCUCUCCCUCGAUCUGCGCCGCCCCACCCCGCCCCGCCUUCCCCCGAUCCCUCGCCGCGGCUGACUCCUCCCCUCUUGAUAUGCAGCACAUGAGGGAAGUAGGCCGUCCUUUCUCUCGAUCUGGAGCUGUGUGACGGUAGUUUUGCAGAGGGGUUGCAGCGGGGCGGCGGUGUAGGCGUGCUUCCGGCAAGCUAACAACGGCGGUAGAGGCUCCUCUCCUCAAGAUUUUGUUGCUGCAACCUCUACAAUCUACCUCAUACAUUGGUCAAGCGUGCUGCUGCUGCUGCUCCAAGGCAGGAUGCCACACUGAAGCCAAAUGCACAAAUUAUCCCAAAGAAGGCAGCAUACAUUUGUUCAGAUCAAAUCAGCUCAGAGUUAGCCAAUACCAAAUCAGUGUUUUUCUUUACCUUUGGCGUCAUGUACACAGAAAAGAAAACGCCUACGAAGAUCCCGAUUGCCGAUGUGAAGUAUUGUGGUGUAUGUUUGUAUAUUCACAUGGAAAAUGAACUUGCUAUAUUAUGAUAUUGUUGUCGAAAA